This is a long non-coding RNA of Psammomys obesus (fat sand rat), 253 nucleotides long. RefSeq lists it as uncharacterized. NCBI's taxonomy places the organism in Eukaryota, Metazoa, Chordata, Mammalia, Rodentia, Muridae. The record is from RefSeq and is a predicted model, not a curated record. The transcript has 3 exons.
UUCUUUUAAAUCACGACAGUUAGUCCUUAGUUCCUUGAGCCUUAUCCUAUUUGGCAAAUAAAUAGACUUGGGUUUAGUAAUGGGAAAACUAGAAAGCUGGCUUCAAGGUCUCAUGCAUCCAAUGGGACCAUUUAAAGAUUCACUUUCUACAUCUAUAAAAUAUGCAGAAGGAGCAGAACAGAAGUCUACAAUUACAGCCUAGGAUUGACCCCCUUCGCCCCCACAAAUAACUGAGUCCCGCGGGGCGGGACAG